GGAUGUGAGGGUGAUCUGACUGUGACAUCUGUCACCCCAUUGAUCUCCAGGGUUGAUUCGGCUGAUCUGGCUGGCUAGGCGGGUGUCCCCUUUCUCCCUCACCGCUCCAUGUGCGUCCCUCCUGAAGCUGCGCCUUGGUCGGGGAGGACGACCACCCCUGAUAGAGGACCGUUUCCCCGGUCGAGGGUGUACUACAAGUAGCUGCGCUCCGCUGCUAGAACCUCCAAACAAGCUCUCAAGAAAUAAGCUCUAAAAGAGCUAAAACGCUAUACCAAGAGAGUUUAUUUACUGAAUACUAAGCACUCCUC
This is an unclassified non-coding RNA of Fukomys damarensis (Damara mole-rat), 308 nucleotides long. Its record names the gene 7SK. It matches the Rfam family "7SK RNA". From Rfam's summary of the family: 7SK was discovered as an abundant small nuclear RNA in the mid-70s but a possible function has only recently been suggested. Two independent studies have found that 7SK RNA binds the CDK9/cyclin T complex (known as elongation factor P-TEFb). The record is from Ensembl. NCBI's taxonomy places the organism in Eukaryota, Metazoa, Chordata, Mammalia, Rodentia, Bathyergidae.